This 2787-nucleotide ribosomal RNA is filed under the name human gut metagenome. RNAcentral describes it as "bacterial LSU rRNA". It matches the Rfam family "Bacterial large subunit ribosomal RNA". The record is from RNAcentral.
AGCGUACACGGUGGAUGCCCUGGCAGUCAGAGGCGAUGAAGGACGUGCUAAUCUGCGAUAAGCGUCGGUAAGGUGAUAUGAACCGUUAUAACCGGCGAUUUCCGAAUGGGGAAACCCAGUGUGUUUCGACACACUAUCAUUAACUGAAUCCAUAGGUUAAUGAGGCGAACCGGGGGAACUGAAACAUCUAAGUACCCCGAGGAAAAGAAAUCAACCGAGAUUCCCCCAGUAGCGGCGAGCGAACGGGGAGCAGCCCAGAGCCUGAAUCAGUGUGUGUGUUAGUGGAAGCGUCUGGAAAGGCGCGCGAUACAGGGUGACAGCCCCGUACACAAAAAUGCACAUGCUGUGAGCUCGAUGAGUAGGGCGGGACACGUGGUAUCCUGUCUGAAUAUGGGGGGACCAUCCUCCAAGGCUAAAUACUCCUGACUGACCGAUAGUGAACCAGUACCGUGAGGGAAAGGCGAAAAGAACCCCGGCGAGGGGAGUGAAAAAGAACCUGAAACCGUGUACGUACAAGCAGUGGGAGCACGCUUAGGCGUGUGACUGCGUACCUUUUGUAUAAUGGGUCAGCGACUUAUAUUCUGUAGCAAGGUUAACCGAAUAGGGGAGCCGAAGGGAAACCGAGUCUUAACUGGGCGUUAAGUUGCAGGGUAUAGACCCGAAACCCGGUGAUCUAGCCAUGGGCAGGUUGAAGGUUGGGUAACACUAACUGGAGGACCGAACCGACUAAUGUUGAAAAAUUAGCGGAUGACUUGUGGCUGGGGGUGAAAGGCCAAUCAAACCGGGAGAUAGCUGGUUCUCCCCGAAAGCUAUUUAGGUAGCGCCUCGUGAAUUCAUCUCCGGGGGUAGAGCACUGUUUCGGCAAGGGGGUCAUCCCGACUUACCAACCCGAUGCAAACUGCGAAUACCGGAGAAUGUUAUCACGGGAGACACACGGCGGGUGCUAACGUCCGUCGUGAAGAGGGAAACAACCCAGACCGCCAGCUAAGGUCCCAAAGUCAUGGUUAAGUGGGAAACGAUGUGGGAAGGCCCAGACAGCCAGGAUGUUGGCUUAGAAGCAGCCAUCAUUUAAAGAAAGCGUAAUAGCUCACUGGUCGAGUCGGCCUGCGCGGAAGAUGUAACGGGGCUAAACCAUGCACCGAAGCUGCGGCAGCGACGCUUAUGCGUUGUUGGGUAGGGGAGCGUUCUGUAAGCCUGUGAAGGUGUGCUGUGAGGCAUGCUGGAGGUAUCAGAAGUGCGAAUGCUGACAUAAGUAACGAUAAAGCGGGUGAAAAGCCCGCUCGCCGGAAGACCAAGGGUUCCUGUCCAACGUUAAUCGGGGCAGGGUGAGUCGACCCCUAAGGCGAGGCCGAAAGGCGUAGUCGAUGGGAAACAGGUUAAUAUUCCUGUACUUGGUGUUACUGCGAAGGGGGGACGGAGAAGGCUAUGUUGGCCGGGCGACGGUUGUCCCGGUUUAAGCGUGUAGGCUGGUUUUCCAGGCAAAUCCGGAAAAUCAAGGCUGAGGCGUGAUGACGAGGCACUACGGUGCUGAAGCAACAAAUGCCCUGCUUCCAGGAAAAGCCUCUAAGCAUCAGGUAACAUCAAAUCGUACCCCAAACCGACACAGGUGGUCAGGUAGAGAAUACCAAGGCGCUUGAGAGAACUCGGGUGAAGGAACUAGGCAAAAUGGUGCCGUAACUUCGGGAGAAGGCACGCUGAUAUGUAGGUGAAGUCCCUCGCGGAUGGAGCUGAAAUCAGUCGAAGAUACCAGCUGGCUGCAACUGUUUAUUAAAAACACAGCACUGUGCAAACACGAAAGUGGACGUAUACGGUGUGACGCCUGCCCGGUGCCGGAAGGUUAAUUGAUGGGGUUAGCGCAAGCGAAGCUCUUGAUCGAAGCCCCGGUAAACGGCGGCCGUAACUAUAACGGUCCUAAGGUAGCGAAAUUCCUUGUCGGGUAAGUUCCGACCUGCACGAAUGGCGUAAUGAUGGCCAGGCUGUCUCCACCCGAGACUCAGUGAAAUUGAACUCGCUGUGAAGAUGCAGUGUACCCGCGGCAAGACGGAAAGACCCCGUGAACCUUUACUAUAGCUUGACACUGAACAUUGAGCCUUGAUGUGUAGGAUAGGUGGGAGGCUUUGAAGUGUGGACGCCAGUCUGCAUGGAGCCGACCUUGAAAUACCACCCUUUAAUGUUUGAUGUUCUAACGUGGACCCGUAAUCCGGGUUGCGGACAGUGUCUGGUGGGUAGUUUGACUGGGGCGGUCUCCUCCUAAAGAGUAACGGAGGAGCACGAAGGUUGGCUAAUCCUGGUCGGACAUCAGGAGGUUAGUGCAAUGGCAUAAGCCAGCUUGACUGCGAGCGUGACGGCGCGAGCAGGUGCGAAAGCAGGUCAUAGUGAUCCGGUGGUUCUGAAUGGAAGGGCCAUCGCUCAACGGAUAAAAGGUACUCCGGGGAUAACAGGCUGAUACCGCCCAAGAGUUCAUAUCGACGGCGGUGUUUGGCACCUCGAUGUCGGCUCAUCACAUCCUGGGGCUGAAGUAGGUCCCAAGGGUAUGGCUGUUCGCCAUUUAAAGUGGUACGCGAGCUGGGUUUAGAACGUCGUGAGACAGUUCGGUCCCUAUCUGCCGUGGGCGCUGGAGAAUUGAGGGGGGCUGCUCCUAGUACGAGAGGACCGGAGUGGACGCAUCACUGGUGUUCGGGUUGUCAUGCCAAUGGCACUGCCCGGUAGCUAAAUGCGGAAGAGAUAAGUGCUGAAAGCAUCUAAGCACGAAACUUGCCCCGAGAUGAGUUCUCCCUGACUCCUUGA